CGGUACUUGUUCUUCCCUAACAACAGAGCUUUACGAUCCGAAAACCUUCAUCGCUCACGCGGCGCUGCUCCGUCAGACUUUCGUCCAUUGCGGAAGAUUCCCUACUGCUGCCUCCCGUAGG
This 121-nucleotide ribosomal RNA is filed under the name uncultured Bacillus sp. RNAcentral's name for it is "partial 16S ribosomal RNA". Lineage: Bacteria; Bacillati; Bacillota; Bacilli; Caryophanales; Bacillaceae. The record is from RNAcentral.